GACGAACGCUGGCGGCGUGCCUAAUACAUGCAAGUUGAGCGCUGAAGGUUGGUACUUGUACCAACUGGAUGAGCAGCGAACGGGUGAGUAACGCGUGGGGAAUCUGCCUUUGAGCGGGGGACAACAUUUGGAAACGAAUGCUAAUACCGCAUAAAAACUUUAAACACAAGUUUUAAGUUUGAAAGAUGCAAUUGCAUCACUCAAAGAUGAUCCCGCGUUGUAUUAGCUAGUUGGUGAGGUAAAGGCUCACCAAGGCGAUGAUACAUAGCCGACCUGAGAGGGUGAUCGGCCACACUGGGACUGAGACACGGCCCAAACUCCUACGGGAGGCAGCAGUAGGGAAUCUUCGGCAAUGGACGAAAGUCUGACCGAGCAACGCCGCGUGAGUGAAGAAGGUUGUCGGAUCGUAAAACUCUGUUGGUAGAGAAGAACGUUGGUGAGAGUGGAAAGCUCAUCAAGUGACGGUAACUACCCAGAAAGGGACGGCUAACUACGUG
RNAcentral lists this ribosomal RNA (497 nucleotides) under uncultured bacterium. RNAcentral describes it as "partial 16S ribosomal RNA". It matches the Rfam family "Bacterial small subunit ribosomal RNA", at positions 28 to 507 of the family's 1533-position model. The record is from RNAcentral.